This is a small nuclear RNA of Loxodonta africana (African savanna elephant), 103 nucleotides long. The record is from Ensembl. Lineage: Eukaryota; Metazoa; Chordata; Mammalia; Proboscidea; Elephantidae.
GCGCUUGCUUCAGCAGCGCAUAUACAAAAAUUGGAACAAAACAGAGAAGAUUAGCAGGGCACACAAGGAUGACACCCAAAUUCAUGAAGCAUUCCAUAUUUUU